UGGGGAAUAUUGCACAAUGGGCGCAAGCCUGAUGCAGCCAUGCCGCGUGUGUGAAGAAGGCCUUCGGGUUGUAAAGCACUUUCAGCGAGGAGGAAGGUGGUGAACUUAAUACGUUCAUCAAUUGACGUUACUCGCAGAAGAAGCACCGGCUAACUCCGUGCCAGCAGCCGCGGUAAUACGGAGGGUGCAGGCGUUAAUCGGAAUUACUGGGCGUAAAGCGCACGCAGGCGGUUUGUUAAGUCAGAUGUGAAAUCCCCGGGCUCAACCUGGGAACUGCAUUUGAAACUGGCAAGCUAGAGUCUCGUAGAGGGGGGUAGAAUUCCAGGUGUAGCGGUGAAAUGCGUAGAGAUCUGGAGGAAUACCGGUGGCGAAGGCGGCCCCCUGGACGAAGACUGACGCUCAGGUGCGAAAGCGUGGGGAGCAAACAGGAUUAGAUACCCUGGUAGUCCACGCUGUAAACGAUGUCGAUUUUGGAGGUUGUGCCCUUGAGGCGUGGCUUCCGGAGCUAACGCGUUAAUCGACCGCCUGGGGAGUACGGCCGCAAGGUUAAAACUCAAAUGAAUUG
This 565-nucleotide ribosomal RNA is filed under the name uncultured bacterium. RNAcentral describes it as "partial 16S ribosomal RNA". It matches the Rfam family "Bacterial small subunit ribosomal RNA", at positions 355 to 912 of the family's 1533-position model. The record is from RNAcentral.